RNAcentral lists this ribosomal RNA (272 nucleotides) under uncultured bacterium. RNAcentral's name for it is "partial 16S ribosomal RNA". It matches the Rfam family "Bacterial small subunit ribosomal RNA", at positions 1221 to 1500 of the family's 1533-position model. The record is from RNAcentral.
CGUGUUACAAUGGGGGGUACGAGAGGGCCGCUACCACGCGAGUGGAUGCCAAUCCCUAAAACCCCUCUCAGUUCGGACUGGAGUCUGCAACCCGACUCCACGAAGCUGGAUUCGCUAGUAAUCGCGCAUCAGCCACGGCGCGGUGAAUACGUUCCCGGGCCUUGUACACACCGCCCGUCAAGCCAUGGGAGCCGGGGGUACCUGAAGUGCGUAACCGCGAGGAUCGCCCUAGGGUAAAACUGGUGACUGGGGCUAAGUCGUAACAAGGUAUC